This 1119-nucleotide long non-coding RNA is filed under the name Oryctolagus cuniculus (rabbit). RNAcentral describes it as "lncRNA (ENSOCUG00000029990.1)". Lineage: Eukaryota; Metazoa; Chordata; Mammalia; Lagomorpha; Leporidae. The record is from RNAcentral.
UACACAUUCAAAAUCUCCUGUGACCUGGAAGAAGCGCAAAUAUGACCCAGGAAAUUCAGAGAGCCCUCCUGGAACACAGAGGACCUCUUCUCUGCGAGUGUUCGGAGGGAUUGGUGCUGAGCCCAGUGCAGCAGAGCAGGGACAGGUGAUACAGUUUGGAAACCAAAGGAACUCCAUAUUCCCUCAAAGUCUCACCUACCUGCCUCCACCCACACUCUCUUCCGGAAAGAACAAGGUACAAAACCAGUACCAUUCAUUUAUUUAUCUACACACAUGUAAUCCUUCCAAGUCUAUUUCUUCAUAUAUAAAAGUAAAAAGUUGAAUUUAUCUAGAAAAUCCUUUGUGCUGAAGAGAAGGAAUUAACACUCCACAAUUAAUGCCCAAUUCAUUAGCAAUUAGAUAUAUUACACAUCAUUCAAUUUGUGCCAUCAAGUCCUGGGAAAGUACCCAUACUUCUUAGAACUUUCCAAUAGCUCUUUAUCACCAGCUGGGUUAAUUAUCUAGCAGGAAAGCAACAGAUUUGAAUUCUCAACAUAUAAUAUUCUCUAACCUUUGGGAUAUUGAUGGGUCUACAUGGACUGAAGUUAUCAGCCACUUUCUGAAUCCAUUUAGGAGACUUCCUUUGGGGUAAAGGCUAAGCCUUAUAUUGAGUACACUGAUAAAAACAACCCUAUCAGAGCCCAGGUGUGUUGUUUUCUGUCUCCAUAUCCAAUAUCACUCCAGAUGAUAGUAAUUGUAAAUUUAUGUCACUUCUACACUGAGGCUUCACUUUCCACUAUUACCUGAAGUGAAGCAACCAUACAAUGCUUAGUUUUGAGUAAGACAAUAACAAAAACAACAAUGAUCCUACCAGUCAAAAAAACAUUCAUUCUCAUAUGACAAGGGCAGUGCUGAAUGUUUUAUACACAUUUCACCCUUAAGCUUGACAACAACCCAAUGAAGGGAGUACUAUAGUUAUAUAAAUUUUACGUUUGAGGAAACUGAUUGCUUAUGUAUUGUGAUCAAUGAUGUACUGGAUAUGUGAUUGGUUAUUGAUAUUUAUUAUCACAAAACAAAUUACUCCACAAUCUAGCAGCCUAAAACAAUAAAUAUUUAACAGUUUCUGAGAGGUGAAUCUUA